Molecule: RNase MRP RNA, 256 nt
Filed under: Malus domestica (apple)
Lineage: Eukaryota; Viridiplantae; Streptophyta; Magnoliopsida; Rosales; Rosaceae
Description: sRNA MD09G0159600
Rfam family: RNase MRP
About the family: RNase MRP is an enzymatically active ribonucleoprotein with two distinct roles in eukaryotes. In mitochondria it plays a direct role in the initiation of mitochondrial DNA replication.
Source: RNAcentral
ACACCACUGGACGAGGCGAUUGGGUCAUAUUUCUGUAAAAAGAAUUAGACCCAGGAAAGUCCCCGGGCCCCUAUCUGCAGAGAUGCAGGCCUGGAAACAGGUACCCUCCGUAGGCUUGGAGUCUUAUCGCCCCGUGCGAUGGGCUGAGACACGUGUGGAGCCUUUUAGGCUUCAAGCCCGGACUAAUCUUGGCCGACUUAACAGUUAUUCGCUUGGUCCAUUGGACUAACUGAACGGGGCUUACGUUUCAGUGGUG